Molecule: small nucleolar RNA, 99 nt
Organism: Brassica oleracea var. oleracea
Lineage: Eukaryota; Viridiplantae; Streptophyta; Magnoliopsida; Brassicales; Brassicaceae
Rfam family: Small nucleolar RNA SNORD24
About the family: U24 is a member of the C/D class of snoRNA which contain the C (UGAUGA) and D (CUGA) box motifs.
Source: Rfam
GGCCAGUGAUGCAAGUAAAAUAUUUGCUACUCUUGAUGAAGAAGAACACGUUGUUGUUCUUCAGUUGAUGAUUGGUUAACCACCAAGAUCUCUGAGGCC